AAGUCGUAACAAGGUUUCCGUAGGUGAACCUGCGGAAGGAUCAUUAAUAAAGUCCCAUAUAUAUUUUACCAUUUCCUCCCUGCAACUUAAGGGGGGGGGGAAUCAAUAACUUUUUGCCUCUUUUUGUGUACUUGUUUGGGGGAACACCCCAUUUUGUAUGUGAAAAGGGUAAUCUACAUUUCACUAGAUACUUUGGAGAGAUAGGUACAAAUAAUUAUAAAAACUUUCAACAACGGAUCUCUUGGUUCUCGCAUCGAUGAAGAACGCAGCGAAAUGCGAUAAGUAGUGUGAAUUGCAGAAUUCAGUGAAUCAUCGAAUCUUUGAACGCACAUUGCGCCUCCUGGUAUUCCGGGAGGCAUGCCUGUCCGAGCGUCAUGCAAAAACAUAAGCCCCUGAAGGGGGGCUUGCUUCUGAGGGAUGAGCCUCGUCGCUCCCCCUCGAAUUUCAGAGGCGAAGUACAAUGAAAGAUAACCGGUGAGGAGUAGGUAGUAGUAAAGAAAUUUUCUCUCGACCAAAUCUCCUUGGCCAGUUCUUCGUGACACUUCAGCCGAUUUAACAACCCACUUCUGUUUUUGACCUCGGAUCAGGUAGGGAUACCCGCUGAACUUAAGCAUAUCAAUAAGCGGAGGAAAAGAAACCAACAGGGAUUGCCUCAGUAACUGCGAGUGAAGCGGCAAAAGCUCAAAUUUGAAAUCUGACGUUCAUUCUGACGUCCGAGUUGUAAUUUGGAGGAGCGCCUUCGGGGACAGACGCCCGUUCUAAGUUCUUUUGGAACUGGACAUCACAGAGGGUGAGAAUCCCGUGCCUGGGCGGCAGUCUUGUUCCCAUAGGAAGCGUUUCCGACGAGUCGAGUUGUUUGGGAAUGCAGCUCAAAAUGGGUGGUAAAUUUCAUCUAAAGCUAAAUACAGGCGAGAGACCGAUAGCGCACAAGUAGAGUGAUCGAAAGAUGAAAAGCACUUUGAAAAGAGAGUUAAACAGUACGUGAAAUUGUUGAAAGGGAAGCGCUUGAGAUUGAACCAUGACAGGAUGGAGCUGUUGAGGGCCUCGGUCCUUAAGCACCCCUCCAUCCUCCCUCCAACCACCAUCGGUUCUGGCGGCGAGAAAAACGGUUAGGGAAUGUGGCUUCCCCUCGGGGGAGUGUUAUUAGACCUUUCCCCUUUGCGCCAGCUGGGACCGAGGCACCAAGCGAGCUUCUGGCUCAAGGAUGUGUGGCAUGUCGAUCUUAAGCGACC
RNAcentral lists this ribosomal RNA (1232 nucleotides) under uncultured fungus. RNAcentral's name for it is "eukaryotic LSU rRNA". The stretch from base 574 to 1232 matches the Rfam family "Eukaryotic large subunit ribosomal RNA", at positions 1 to 649 of the family's 3401-position model. Lineage: Eukaryota; Fungi. The record is from RNAcentral.